AGUGAACGCUGGCGGCAGGCCUAACACAUGCAAGUCGAGCGGCAGCACAGUGGCAACCCUCGCUGCGAGCGGCGGAGGGGUGGGGGAUUCGUGAGAAUCUCCCUAUCUGCUUUGGCUAACGGGAGAACGCUUACACUCAUACGGCAUACGUCCUAAGGGACUACGGGUGGGAGCACGAGGCCUUCCGCACUUACAUGAGCCGACGACCGAUUAGCUAGUUGGUGGGGUAAAGGCCCACCAAGGCGACGAUCGGUAGCUGGUCUGAGAGGAUGAUCAGCCACACUGGAACUGAGACACGGUCCAGACUCCUACGGGAGGCAGCAGUGGGGAAUAUUGGACAAUGGGCGCAAGCCUGAUCCAGCCAUGCCGCGUGUGUGAAGAAGGCCUUCGGGUUGUAAAGCACUUUUGUUGGGAAAGAAAAGCAGGAAGCUAAUACCUUCGGGUGCUGACGGUACCGGAAGAAUAAGCACCGGCUAACUUCGUG
This 484-nucleotide ribosomal RNA is filed under the name uncultured bacterium. Its description in RNAcentral is "partial 16S ribosomal RNA". It matches the Rfam family "Bacterial small subunit ribosomal RNA", at positions 29 to 507 of the family's 1533-position model. The record is from RNAcentral.